Molecule: long non-coding RNA, 530 nt
Organism: Alosa sapidissima (American shad)
Lineage: Eukaryota; Metazoa; Chordata; Actinopteri; Clupeiformes; Clupeidae
Exons: 3
Source: RefSeq, a predicted model, not a curated record
CAAUUAUUAAGAUAAAUGUCUUUCAUCUAAGCUGUUCAGGUAAAGCCUCAGAUGGUGGAUGUGGGGACUCAAACCGAAAAGUUUGAGAAUCGCAGAUCAACUCCACUGACCAGUCCUGAACAAAGUGAUGAUGAAUGGUCAUUUUCUGAUAUCAUCAACCAUUCUGGUGAUAUGUCAUGGAGUCCAGGGGAAGAGAUGGCAAGCGAGUCCUCUAAGGAGGAACCAGAAGAGCUGGAAUCUCUCAGUGACCCAAAUGCUGUUGACAAGUUCAUCGUUCGUCCUUGUAUACAGUUUGCCCUGCAUGCUGUGGGGAAACCCAGGGACACAUAAUGCAUCCAGAAGGAACUUUCAUAAAAGUCAAGCAGGCCUGCGGAACUUGUGGUUAUGAGCGUUACUGGCAAAACCAAGAGAAGGUGCAUCGAAACAUGCCUGCCUGCAACCUUUUACUCAGUGGUGCCAUCCACUUCUCAGGUUGCAUGGCUACUCAGACUAUCAGGAUGCUGAAGCUGUUUGGACUGCAGUGCAUACAG